RNAcentral lists this ribosomal RNA (253 nucleotides) under uncultured bacterium. RNAcentral's name for it is "partial 16S ribosomal RNA". It matches the Rfam family "Bacterial small subunit ribosomal RNA", at positions 524 to 776 of the family's 1533-position model. The record is from RNAcentral.
UACGGAGGGUGCGAGCGUUAAUCGGAAUUACUGGGCGUAAAGCGUGCGCAGGCGGCGCGUUAAGUCAGGUGUGAAAGCCCCGAGCUUAACUUGGGAAUUGCGCUUGUGACUGGCGUGCUGGAGUGUGGCAGAGGGAGGUGGAAUUCCACGUGUAGCAGUGAAAUGCGUAGAGAUGUGGAGGAACACCGAUGGCGAAGGCAGCCUCCUGGGCCAGCACUGACGCUCAUGCACGAAAGCGUGGGGAGCAAACAGG